RNAcentral lists this transfer RNA (71 nucleotides) under Marmota monax (woodchuck). RNAcentral describes it as "tRNA.Ala". It matches the Rfam family "tRNA". Rfam says of the family: Transfer RNA (tRNA) molecules are approximately 80 nucleotides in length. Their secondary structure includes four short double-helical elements and three loops (D, anti-codon, and T loops). Lineage: Eukaryota; Metazoa; Chordata; Mammalia; Rodentia; Sciuridae. The record is from RNAcentral.
GGGGAUGUAACUUGGCUGGGAGUGCUUGCCUAGCAUGUGAGAGGCCCUGGGUUCAAUCCCAGGCCUCCCCU